UACGAAGGGGGCUAGCGUUGUUCGGAAUUACUGGGCGUAAAGGGCGCGUAGGCGGCGUGUCAAGUCAGGCGUGAAAGCCCCGGGCUCAACCUGGGAACCGCGCUUGAGACUGGCAUGCUCGAGUUCGGGAGAGGAUGGUGGAAUUCCCAGUGUAGAGGUGAAAUUCGUAGAUAUUGGGAAGAACACCGGAUGGCGAAGGCAGCCAUCUGGACCGACACUGACGCGUG
RNAcentral lists this ribosomal RNA (227 nucleotides) under uncultured bacterium. RNAcentral describes it as "partial 16S ribosomal RNA". It matches the Rfam family "Bacterial small subunit ribosomal RNA", at positions 524 to 748 of the family's 1533-position model. The record is from RNAcentral.